This is a long non-coding RNA of Amphibalanus amphitrite, 1052 nucleotides long. RefSeq lists it as uncharacterized. NCBI's taxonomy places the organism in Eukaryota, Metazoa, Arthropoda, Thecostraca, Balanomorpha, Balanidae. The record is from RefSeq and is a predicted model, not a curated record. The transcript is spliced from 3 exons.
UCUAGUGGAAGAAAAGAAGACUGCUGGAAAUAAAACAAACUUCUCCAUCCUAAUUGACCUUCAUCCUCCCAACACCCAAUCCUGUCCCCUAGUGAGAAUCCUAGCCACACAAACCAACCAUAACAAUGCAACCCAUCGAUCAAAGUAAAAGUUAAAGUUUAAGAACUCAAGGAGGUGCCGAUACAAAGGCUAAACCUCCGAUAACCAUCGCAUCGCAUCGCAUCGUUCGGACGACAAUGUGAUGUCAAGGCGAAUCAAGAAGUUCUUCAUGCGAUUCCAACACGCUCCUAAUGUACUGGGAAUGUGGGGAGUGCAGCAGCAUCAGUGCAGCACCAAUGGUCAGAUGCGACGGCUGUGAUAAAUGGUACCACUUCCGUUGCGCGGGACUGUCUAAGGAGCCAGAAACACCGACAUGGCGAUGCAGGUGGUACUGCCUGGUGAGGCCGCGGUCUCCGGAAUCGCCUGCAGACGAAGUCACCUGGCGUCCAUCUGCACAUCACUUGCAGAAGUGAGGCCUGCUGACAGCGUCUGGCAGUGUCGGCAACGUGCCAGACAGCUAUCUGGAGUCCUGCUCACCGCAGGUCGCCGACAGGAGGGGCGACGCAUCGUCUCCGAGGUCGCCUCAGCAUCAGUGAGACCCCACUGGCCGUCUUCUUAGGCUUCAACUAGAUUGCGAACAACCUAUGCUGAGACAACGCCCAUGACGUGUGAUCCGGUACCGCUACCGCACUGCGUGCCUGUGCCCGCCGUGAGCCGCUAGUGCAUGGGUUCGACCAUGAGAAUGUGUGUUUAUGUUGCUUUUACUAUUGUUUAUACGUUGAAGUGACGAAUUGUUUAUUUUUCGCAAGCCUCCGCUGUCCGGUUGCCUGCAGCUCCAUGCAACGUCAGCUGUACUGUUGUUUUAAUGUUGUCUCUCCGCUCAGCUGUACUGUUGCCUCUCCGCUCAUAUAUGACACCCUCUAUAUGAAUGGCACUACUGAUUGUCACACCCACUGUCCGUAUUGUCCGUAGUGGUGUCUACGCCCAUGUUAAUACAGCGUGCAGAAUCCAGA